CGCAUUGCUUUGUACGCAUGUUCUAAAUCUUGUUGAUGUUUUGUACAAUUUUGAUGUGAUUUGUUUUUAUUUUGCGAUAAUUUUCUCGUUUUCUUUUCGUUCAAAAUAAUGUCGCUAAAAAUUCAUGAUACUUUCUUAUCUUGGGAUGAAUUUUUUCAAGCAGUUGAAAUACAUUGUAAUAAAACAUUCCAACCCAUGGUUAAACAUGGUUGCAAGCUAACGGUAACAGCUAAUGCUAAGAUCAAGCUCGACCAAAGACCUUAUCCUGAAAUGUUUAAAUACGUGUACUAUAAUUUAAUUUGCACACAUGGUGGAUUCAAUUCAAGCAAAGGAAUAGGGAAAAGAAAUUCAGGAUCAGCAAAAACUGUCCAGCUAAAACUUAUGCUGCUUUAACAAAAGAUAGAACAAAAAUAAUUAUUAAACAAAUGAUAGAAACGCACAAUCAUGUUAUUGAUCAAGAUCUUUACAAACACUAUGUCAAAAAUAGAAAGCUAUCAAAUGAAGAAAAGGCCAAAGUUAAAGAACUGAGUCGUCUUGGUGUUACUACUAAAGUAAUUGCUGAUGAAAUGAGAAAGAGUACAGGAAAAUCCAUAGUAAAUAAGGACAUUUGGAACAUUAAGGAUAAAAUUCGUCAAAAA
Hydra vulgaris (swiftwater hydra) is the source of this 638-nucleotide long non-coding RNA. RefSeq lists it as uncharacterized. NCBI's taxonomy places the organism in Eukaryota, Metazoa, Cnidaria, Hydrozoa, Anthoathecata, Hydridae. The record is from RefSeq and is a predicted model, not a curated record.